Molecule: ribosomal RNA, 116 nt
Filed under: Pteropus alecto (black flying fox)
Lineage: Eukaryota; Metazoa; Chordata; Mammalia; Chiroptera; Pteropodidae
Source: RNAcentral
GUCUAGGGCCACGCCACCCUGAACAAGCCCGAAAUCUGACCUCAGAAGCUAAGCAGGGUCGGGCCUGGUUAGUACUUGGAUGGGAGACCACCUAGGAAGACCAGGUGCUGUAGGUG